Long non-coding RNA from Oncorhynchus keta (chum salmon), 1720 nucleotides. RefSeq lists it as uncharacterized. The transcript is spliced from 3 exons. The record is from RefSeq and is a predicted model, not a curated record. Lineage: Eukaryota; Metazoa; Chordata; Actinopteri; Salmoniformes; Salmonidae.
UAACGAGUGAGCCUAUGUAGCAAUUUAUCAUCCUCUUUCAUUGCCCCGUGGAUUUCACUAACUGAAUGAGUCUCAUUCUAUACUGAACAAAAAUAUAACCCAACAUGCAACAAUUUCUAAUAAUUACUGAGUUAUAGUUUACAGGGAAAUUAGUCAACUGAAAUAAAUGAAUCUGUCCCUAAACUCUGGAUUUCACAUGACUGGGAAUACAGAUAUGCAUCUGUUGGUCACAGAUACAUUUAAAACAUGUCAGUAUCGAUCAACCAUUUGCUUCAUGCAGUGCGCCAUCUCCUUCGCAUAGAGUUGAUCACGGUGUUGAUGGCCUGUGGAAUGUUGUCCCACUUCUCUUCAAUUGGCGGACCUGGAACAUUCUGUCCUACACGUUGACCCAGAGCUUCCCGAAAAAUGUUCAAUGGGUGAAGUGUCUGCAGUGGGAUGUCACCAUGGAGGACAACACAAGACUCCUCUACAGCUACCAAAACAACAGCUCUGUUACCUUGUGGAUGUCGGCCAUCUUGACUGGGGCUGUGGGUUGUGUUUGUGAUGCCAGGCCUGAAAGUGCCCUUUAAGCUCAAGUUCAUCUGAUGCUACGUGAGAUCAGGUACCACUGUUCCUCUACGACCCGCGCCUACCCAGAGAGACCUGCAGCCUGUCGCCGCUAACCCAGCUAUUCUUCUCUGCUGCUAAGAAGGGGGCUCUUUUGUAAUUAUCAGAAGGACUUUUUGUUUCAUUUGUCGCCCUCUCUGCGGGUUGUCUAUUUUUCCAUUAUCUACAUCUGAAGAGGAUCUAUGUCUUCCCUGUGUUUACAUUAAAGGACUCUGUUUUUGUUAAACCGCUUUUGGGUCCUCACUCAAGUGCAUAACCGAAUGAGACAAGUCUGCCCAACAACCGGCAGUUGGGUUCCAAUGUACUGGGUUUGAGAUCAACUCAAUGCUGCAGACCUACCCACGAGGUAGAGUCUGGUGGAGGGGAAUAACAUAUACUAAGGCCAAUUUUGUCAGCAAGGAUUUCUGGAAGGUACCGUAUGAAUUCCAUGUUUAUUGAUUUAUUUGAUUAAGUUUAUUGGUCAGGGACCAUGUAGGCUACCUGUCCAAUAAAAACUGAUAUAAAUGACAUAUCUGUGUUGACUGUCACGUUCUGACCUUAGUUCCUUUGUUAUGUCUUUUUUAGUAUGGUCAGGGCGUGAGACUACCCACCCCAACUAUGUUCUUUUUUCUAUGUUGUGUUUAUGUGUUUGGCCUGGUGUCGUUCGUUGUCUCUGAUUUGAGAAUCAUACUUAGGUAGCCUUUUCCCACCUGUGUUUUGUGGGUGAUUAUUUUCCGAUUAGUGUUUUUCGUCACCUUCCAGAACUGUUUUAUUUCAUUCUCUUUGUUUUUUUGUUUAGUGUUCUGAGUUUAAAUAAAUAUGAUCAUGAACACUUACCAAGCUGCACUUUGGUCCUCCUCUCCUUUAACCGAAGACAACCGUUACAGACUGAGAACACGCUUCUUAUUUAUUUUAAUUUCCGUAUGUGCAGUAAGUCACUGGAACCGUAUGCAGAACAUUUUCAUUUUACCAUAACGUCUUUUACAGUCACAAUAAUGACGCACAAUAUAGGAGAUUAUUAAGAGAUUCACUACCAGUAAUCAUGACCAAUAUCGUCAGAGAUGUAAGUAAAAAGUUCCACUGCUGUUGUUCGAGAAGCGCUGCUUCAUUUGCUUCUAUGCUCUGUUCUUUUCUU